Molecule: long non-coding RNA, 367 nt
Filed under: Carica papaya (papaya)
Lineage: Eukaryota; Viridiplantae; Streptophyta; Magnoliopsida; Brassicales; Caricaceae
Description: long non-coding RNA (CPAP_LNC001947)
Source: RNAcentral
GAAGUUCACUUUCUCUCUCUAGAAUUUCACUUUCUCUCUCUAGAAUUUAACUUUCUCCCUCUAGUAAAUAGACGUAGGAAGAAGGGAAAAUGGAAGUGGAUAAAAAUUAAGGGGUAGGGGUCCAUAUUUAUAGAGUUGGAGGGUCAUUGGAUGCAUGCCACUAACACAAAUCCGGUUGCACAAGUGGCAACAAGGGAGGGGUUGCCAGCGAUGGGAUCCACAUGACAGGGAAAGCCAUGCCCUGCUGGUGUGCAUGGCAUGGGUGCACUGUCACUAACAUCCUCGCUUGUGCGCAUAGUGCCUGCGCACGAGCACGCAGACAUGCGGGCUCGCGAUCGCGGGCUAUUUUCUUGCGUGUCUUGGGAUU